This 301-nucleotide ribosomal RNA is filed under the name uncultured bacterium. Its description in RNAcentral is "partial 16S ribosomal RNA". It matches the Rfam family "Bacterial small subunit ribosomal RNA", at positions 509 to 808 of the family's 1533-position model. The record is from RNAcentral.
CAGCAGCCGCGGGAAUACGUAUGUCACGAGCGUUAUCCGGAUUUAUUGGGCGUAAAGCGCGUCUAGGUGGUUAUAUAAGUCUGAUGUGAAAAUGCAGGGCUCAACUCUGUAUUGCGUUGGAAACUGUAUAACUAGAGUACUGGAGAGGUAAGCGGAACUACAAGUGUAGAGGUGAAAUUCGUAGAUAUUUGUAGGAAUGCCGAUGGGGAAGCCAGCUUACUGGACAGAUACUGACGCUGAAGCGCGAAAGCGUGGGUAGCAAACAGGAUUAGAUACCCGCGUAGUCCCUGUCUCUUAUACA